Molecule: ribosomal RNA, 497 nt
Filed under: uncultured bacterium
Lineage: Bacteria
Description: partial 16S ribosomal RNA
Rfam family: Bacterial small subunit ribosomal RNA
Source: RNAcentral
GAUGAACGCUGGCGGCGUGCCUAAUACAUGCAAGUCGAGCGAACAGACGAGGAGCUUGCUCCUCUGACGUUAGCGGCGGACGGGUGAGUAACACGUGGAUAACCUACCUAUAAGACUGGGAUAACUUCGGGAAAUCGGAGCUAAUACCGGAUAAUAUAUUGAACCGCAUGGUUCAAUAGUGAAAGACGGUUUUGCUGUCACUUAUAGAUGGAUCCGCGCCGCAUUAGCUAGUUGGUAAGGUAACGGCUUACCAAGGCAACGAUGCGUAGCCGACCUGAGAGGGUGAUCGGCCACACUGGAACUGAGACACGGUCCAGACUCCUACGGGAGGCAGCAGUAGGGAAUCUUCCGCAAUGGGCGAAAGCCUGACGGAGCAACGCCGCGUGAGUGAUGAAGGUCUUCGGAUCGUAAAACUCUGUUAUUAGGGAAGAACAAAUGUGUAAGUAACUAUGCACGUCCUGACGGUACCUAAUCAGAAAGCCACGGCUAACUACGUG